Molecule: long non-coding RNA, 277 nt
Organism: Trematomus bernacchii (emerald rockcod)
Lineage: Eukaryota; Metazoa; Chordata; Actinopteri; Perciformes; Nototheniidae
Exons: 3
Source: RefSeq, a predicted model, not a curated record
AUAAAAGGGCAGAGGUUUCUAGCUGGCUGUCUCUUGUUUGUUGGUACACAGACCCGCCCCACUUGCGUGUUUGCCGUGUUUGCUUCCGCCACCGGUGCAGUGGUGGAUCCUCCGGGUGCAGCCUGUCAACGCAGCCAUAGAAAGCAUGAAGCUCUCUCCUCUCUGCGUCAUCGAUAGGAAAGCCUGAUCGGGCCAAUCCAAUGAUUAAGGGACAUCUGCUGUUUUGCUUCACCGGAUAAAGUGUAUUUAUCGGCACAACUGCUGUUGAUCCUGCCUA